Molecule: ribosomal RNA, 253 nt
Filed under: uncultured bacterium
Lineage: Bacteria
Description: partial 16S ribosomal RNA
Rfam family: Bacterial small subunit ribosomal RNA
Source: RNAcentral
UACGUAGGGUGUGAGCGUUAAUCGGAAUUACUGGGCGUAAAGCGUGCGCAGGCGGUUCUCCAAGUCCGUUGUGAAAGCCCCGGGCUCAACCUGGGAAUGGCAGUGGAAACUAGGGGACUGGAAUCUGGCAGAGGGGGGUGGAAUGCCGCGUGUAGCAGUGAAAUGCGUAGAGAUGCGGAGGAACACCGAUGGCGAAGGCAGCCCCCUGGGCUGACACUGACGCUCAGGCACGAAAGCGUGGGGAGCAAACAGG